This 433-nucleotide ribosomal RNA is filed under the name uncultured bacterium. RNAcentral's name for it is "partial 16S ribosomal RNA". It matches the Rfam family "Bacterial small subunit ribosomal RNA", at positions 29 to 507 of the family's 1533-position model. The record is from RNAcentral.
AACGAACGCUGGCGGCAUGCCUAACACAUGCAAGUCGAACGAGACCUUCGGAUCUAGUGGCGCACGGGUGCGUAAAGCGUGGGACCCUGCCCUUAGGUUCGGAAUAACUCUCCUAAGGGGGUGCUAAUACCGGAUAAUGUCUUCGGACAACAGAUUUACCGUCCUUGGAUGCGCCGGCGUUGGCUUAGCUAGUUGGUAGGGUAAAAGCCUACGAAGGGGUCGAUACAUAGCUGGUCUGAGAGGAAGGUCCGCCACACUGAGACGGUGACACGGCGCAGACUCCUACAGGAUGGAGCAGUGGGGAAUACUGGACUAUCGGCUAAAGCCUGAACCAGCAAUGCCGCGUGAGUGAUGAAGGCCUGAGAGUUAUGCAGCACUUUUACCCGGGACGAUAAUGACAGUACCGGGAGAAUAAGCUCCGGCUAACUCCGUG